GUCGAUGACAGCGGUGGAGUCCGCUGAAACCGCCUCGGGCCGAUGACUCCUGCUCCGAC
This 59-nucleotide non-coding RNA is filed under the name Hyphomicrobiales bacterium. Its description in RNAcentral is "Rhizobiales bacterium Fluoride sequence". It matches the Rfam family "Fluoride riboswitch aptamer (crcB RNA motif)". The record is from RNAcentral. Lineage: Bacteria; Pseudomonadati; Pseudomonadota; Alphaproteobacteria; Hyphomicrobiales.